CGAUCUAGACAAAACAAGUCCACCGUGGGCUUUGAAAAACGCUUUCCUUGAUAAAAUUUAAGCGUUUUAUAAGAGGAUGCCGGGGAAGGUUUUCCGGUUUAUCCCGGAGGGCUUGUAGCUCAGUUGGUUAGAGCGCGCGCUUGAUAAGCGUGAGGUCGGAGGUUCAAGUCCUCCCAGGCCCACCAGUUUAUCCAUUACUUUCAUAAGUGCUUUUAAAAAAUAAGUACUUCUAAAAAGAUUGCUUCUAAAAAGCUUAUCAAAAUUGGCAGGCUUAUUGCUUUUGUGUGAGUAAUCCAAAGUUAAAGCAAAUUAAUGGCAAAAAAACAGUUCAAAUGCUAAAUACUAAGGAGUCAAAAUUCCUUGCAAAGUGAUUUUUACAGCGUCCAUUUGGUUGAUAUAAAUUCCAAAUGCUCAUAGACGUCAAUGCCUAUAUGAAACUAUCGGUUCAAUCAUAUCGCUUUGAGUUAUAUAGAUUUUGUAAUCCCUCUUUUGAUCGUUUUAAACGCUUUAUCCUGAUUUAGGGGCCGUAGCUCAGCUGGGAGAGCACCUGCUUUGCAAGCAGGGGGUCGUCGGUUCGAUCCCGUCCGGCUCCACCAUAAGGUCAUCAUCAUUGUUGUAAGAACAGUUUUGUAAAAGGUUUGCGAACCUUUUGCUUGUUCUAUUGAAAUUGUGAAGAGAAGAUAUAUUCAGACAUGUUCCUUUUGAAAGGUUUGUUCUGGAAGGUGAGGUUUUUCUGUGCAGAAAUGUUUCAGAAAAAGCUUUGUCAUCAGAAAGGGCUAUUGUCUAACAGCUUAGAUAAAAAACAAAUCUGAAAAAGAAAUCUUGUGUCGCAAGGGAAAGCUCAAAGCCCUUGCUUAUGAU
This 861-nucleotide transfer RNA is filed under the name uncultured Bartonella sp. RNAcentral's name for it is "partial 16S-23S ribosomal RNA intergenic spacer". The stretch from base 109 to 182 matches the Rfam family "tRNA". Lineage: Bacteria; Pseudomonadati; Pseudomonadota; Alphaproteobacteria; Hyphomicrobiales; Bartonellaceae. The record is from RNAcentral.